Molecule: ribosomal RNA, 253 nt
Filed under: uncultured bacterium
Lineage: Bacteria
Description: partial 16S ribosomal RNA
Rfam family: Bacterial small subunit ribosomal RNA
Source: RNAcentral
UACGUAGGCAGCGAGCGUUGUUCGGAAUUACUGGGCGUAAAGAGUGUGUAGGCGGUGCUCUAAGUUCGGUGUGAAAUCUCCCGGCUUAACUGGGAGGGUGCGCCGGAAACUGGAGUGCUCGAGCGUGGGAGAGGAAAGCGGAAUUCCUGGUGUAGCGGUGAAAUGCGUAGAUAUCAGGAGGAACACCUGCGGUGUAGACGGCUUUCUGGACCAUUGCUGACGCUGAGGCGCGAAAGCUAGGGGAGCAAACAGG